Molecule: long non-coding RNA, 4774 nt
Filed under: Sus scrofa (pig)
Lineage: Eukaryota; Metazoa; Chordata; Mammalia; Artiodactyla; Suidae
Description: lncRNA (ENSSSCG00015059701.1)
Source: RNAcentral
AUUAGUCCAGGAGUCAGCAACUUUUUUUUCUGUAAAAGGCACGAUAGUAAUUAUUUUGUGGAUCCAUGCGCCCUCUGUUGCAGCUACUCAGCUCUGCCAUUGUAGAGUGAAAGCAGCCAUAGACAUUAUGUAAAGGAAUGCACAUGGCUAUGUUCCAGUAAAACUUUACAAGAAAAAGCAGUUAGCUAUUGUCCGCUGACCCCUGUCUAGGACCCAGACUGCUGGUAUUAUUCCAGUCCUAGGGUAACUUACAGCACCAGGAAAGUGAGAGUUCAUGUUUCUUCCUAGUCAGUCUUCCAGGCAGAGGUACUGACGAGAAAAAAGUAAGACGUGAGUCUGUAAUUAAAUGAUUCUAUUUACCAUAAUAACUUGAUCAGUCAGCAGAUGACCCUCCCAAAUAUGUAAGCUCACAGACUGGUCCAACCUUUAUGUAUAACAACCCAUUCCGUGGGUACUUUAUUUUUAUUUAUUUGUUUAUUUGUUUUUUCAGGGCCAAACCCAUAGCAUAUGGAGGUUCCCAGGCGAGGGGUUGAAAAGGAGCUGCAGCCUUCAGCCUACUCCACAGCCACAGCAGUGCCAGAUCCAAGCCGCGUCUGUGACCGACACCAGAGCUCACAGCAACGCUGGAUCCCUAACCCACUGAGCGAGGCCAGGCAUCCAACCCGAAUCCUCAUGGAUGCUAGAUGGGUUCAUUAAUGGCUGAGCCAUGACAGGAACUCCUGUAAGUACUUUGCCUAAUUUCACCCAGAUUCCCAAACAGCACCUUCUUGAAUGGCCAUACAGUUUGAUCCUGUCUGUCGUAUCAUUACAUUAGAGGGUGUCCCUGACGACUUUGUUUUCUCCCUUUCCACCCCUUUCUUGGUGAUAACCUAUUACUACUACUUUUUAAAUUAAAGUAUAAUUGAUUUACAUUACUGUAAUUUUAGGUGGGCGGGGUAGUGAUUCAAUAUUUUUAUGGAUUCUACUCCAUUUAAAGUUAUUACAAAGUAAUGGCUCUGCUGUGCACCAUGUCCUCCCACACACCCUAUCUUGCCUAUCUCCCUUCCCGCUCCCCACUGAUAACCACUGAUUUGUUCUCCGUAUCUGGGAGUCUGUUUCUGUUUGUUAUGUACGUUCAUUUAUGUUAUUUUUUAGCUUCCAUGUAUUAGUGAUAACACAGAGUACUGGUCUUUCUAUGACUUAUUUCACUGUACUUUCCUUAUUAAGCAUAAUACUCUCAAGGUCCCUCCACGAAUACUAUUUUUUCCUAGUGUCUGCAUAUUAUGUCUAUGAUCAGAAGUAUGUGAAAGGUAUGUAUUCCCUCCUUCUAGUUCACUAAAGGCAUUUGUUUUUAAAAUGACCUCCUAUGUCUCACCCUCUGUAUUAGUCUCCUACUGUUGCCUUAACAAAUUACCACAAAAUUACUCUCACAGUUGAGUAGGUCAGACAUCUGAGUACAGCAUGGCUCUGCUGGGUCCCCUUCUGAGAGUCACAAAAGUCUGAAAUCAAGAUGUCAGCAGGGUUGCUUUCCUUUCUAGAGGCUCUAGGGUGAACCUGCUUUGAAGUGUACUGUCUGUUGGCCAGAAUGUUCCUUGCAGUUUUGGGACUGAGGUCCCAUUUCUUUGCUGGGUUAAUUCUCAGUUGGGAAUCGUUCUGCUUCCAGAGUCCACCCAUAUUCUUUAGCUUGAUACCCCUUCAUGUUCAGUCAGAGUCAGCAACAGUAGAGUCUUUCCCAUACUUCAGAUCUCGCUAACCUCCCCAUUCUGUCUCAACUCUUCUGCUUCUGCCUGGAGAAAAUUCACUACUUUUAAGGGUGCUUGUGAUUAGGUCGGAUCCAUUCGGAUAAUCCAGGAAAAUCUCCGAUGAAGAGUCUAAACUUAAUUAUAUCUGCAAAGUUCCUGUUACCAGGUAAAACCCCAUAAAAUAUGUGGGAGGUGAAUCUUUCAGGGCCGUUAUCACCACCUCAUUGUACUUUUGGUUCUAUUUUGCAUUUUUUUUUUAGCAUAAUUGCUUAGAUUGUCCACUCAGUUCUAAAAUACAUCUUAAUAUUUAUGAGCAUACUAAGUAUGUUUUUAUUAAUGUUACGACUCAUUAUUUUAUUUCAUAAUUACAUUUACAUUUAUGUAGUCAUGGAGCAGGAACUUUUUUCCUUAACAUACUAUGAACCAUUUCCUUAUGUCCACUUCGAGUUCUUUGCAAAUAUAAUGUUAAUUUUUGUGCAAUACCUCCUUGAAUGUACAUACUAAAUUUAUAUAACAAUCGCUCUGUUAUUAAUCAUUUGGGGCUUCCCCAGUGUUUCACUAAUGUAAGUAACUGUAAUGAACAGUUUUGUACCAAAAGAUUGUCUACAUGUGGGAUGAUUUUCUCAGGAUAGAUCCCCAAAAGUAGGAUAACUGCAUCAAAGGCCAUGAAUUUCCAUGAUAGAAACUACUUUCUGAAAGGCUUGAACAAAGUUUGUAUCCUCAGAAGCACUUACCAGUAGUGAAUGUCAUCAUUAAAAACAAAGAACAUAAAGGUUGAAAUGAAAGGACAUUAGACAGUAACUUGGAGUCACAUGAAGAAAUAAAAGUCUCAGUAAAAGUAAAUACAUACACAGUUAUAAAAGCUGGUGUUAUUAUAACAAUGGUAUGUAACUCCAUGUUUUGUUUUCUACAGGAUUUAAGAGACCUGACAUUAAAAGAAAUAGCUAUCAGUCCAAAAGAUAGUAUGAACUCUGUAAUGCCAUAUAUUGUUUGCUAUAUAAUUUAAGAGACUAAUGCAUUAAAAAUUUUUAGUUUAUGUCUUUGGACACACUGUGUAAAGAUGUAAUUUUGUGUGACAUCAACAACUGAAAAGUAUAGGAAAAGAGCUGUUAAAGGAACAGAAGGUGAGAAGUGGUUGGAGCCUAGAUAUGUGUUGAAGGUGUAGAUGUUGGGCAUUUGCCAUUGGAUUGGAUAUGGGGUGUGUGUGUGUGUGUGUGUGUGUUGUGGGGAAGGUAAUGAUGGAUUUAGCUCCUUUUCUGAGUAGCAUAGGAGAAUAGUAAAGAGGGAAUGAAUAUGGAUAAAAAGCAGAAGUUUAAAGACAACUCUUUGCCAACCCAGUGUUCAGAGAUCAGAGAGGUGAGGAAGAACCAGGAGAGUAGACCAAGAAGCAGUGCCAGGAGGAAAAUCAGCACAGUGGUGCCCUCAAAGCCCAAUGAAAUAAUUGUUUAAGGAGGAGGGAAUAGUUGGUUAUGUUAAAUACUGCUCCAAGGUUGAAAAGAUGAGGAGUGAAAACAAUUAGACCUAACAGUANUGACAUGGUUGGUGGCCUUGCAAACAGAUUCACUGGAGUAGUGGGGGCAUGACCCAUUUGCAGUGGGGUAUAAGAAAGAAUAAAACGUGAAACGUUGGAGAGAAUGAGCAUAGACAACGCUUCCAAGGAGUUUUACAUCAAAAGAUAAGCUCACCAUAUACUUUGCAAUCCAACUGGAACACAUUGAAAAGGGCACCAUUAAUAAUUAAGCCAAGAUUUAUUGAAUUAAUAAGUAUAAACUGGAACUCUCAUGACAAAGUGAAAUAAGUGUUAUUUUAUGGAGGAAGGGGGGCUGCAGCUGGAAGAGAAGUGGAAGAAAAAGGGUUGGUUAGUUUUUUAAAGAAGAGAUAAAUAACAGCUAAUAGAAAUGAUCUGAUAGGGAAAGUUUUAAAAUAGAAGAGGGAAAGAACAUUUUUUUGGAGCCAUUUCUUUGGGUAGUAUAUAGUGUACAAGUGGAAGGGCUGGUUUUAGCCAAGAGCAUGGGGACAAAUGCACAAAGAUGAGAUGAUAUCAUUAGAGCUUGUGGAAAUUUUCUUAUGAAAAUUAUUGAAAUAGGAUAUUUACUAAGAGUGAGAAUUAGAGAGGAGUUAUUGGAGGUUUUAAAAGAGAGAGAGAUGAAAUAGUUUUAUAGGAGAAAGGAAGAAUUAAUAGAGAAAUACAGUUUGAUUGCCAAGCACUAUUUGGGUUCAGUUGCAUUUAAUAACCAUGUGUUUUAAGUAAGAUCACUCAACAUUGGUUGUAUGUUUUUCUUAAGCCAGGUUUUACUGUGCAAAUGUAGUCAUGGGGAAAGCUAAAAAUGGGAUUUAAUCAGGGUAUAUUUUUUAGCCAAAUACAAUUAAGUAAGAGAAAGUCAAGGGAAUUCAGACUACAUGCAAGGGAAUGAUUUUACCUUUUAAGUAUUUAAUAACUUUUAUAGUGAUGCUGUCAUCUGACUGUAUAUGGUUUAACCUGGUGAAUUAGUUUCAUAAGGUUUCUGUAACAAAGUGCCACAAACUGAGUACUUUAAUAGAAAUGUGGAGGCAGAGCAAGAUGGCAGACGAGUAAGAAGAGGUCAUGCUCGCCUUAUCCCACAAACACAUCAGAACAACACAUGUACAUGUAAAAUGACUCGCACAGAACAUCAACUGAAUGCUGGCAGAAGAACGUAAACCUCCUAAAAGGGCAGAAAACUCUCGACAUAACUGGUAGAACGAAAGGAAACUGGGUAGAACGAAAGAAGAAAAGAGAAAAGGAAUCAGGACAGGACUAGCAUUCCUGAGAGGGAGCUGUGAUGGAGAAAAGGAACCCACAUCCUGGGAAACCACCUGAUGGAAAGACCAGCCGAGUUGGAGGGACCUCAAAGUUGCCGAGGAAAGCACAGCAGCUGGGCAGAGGAGGGCAAGUUAGAAGUGAGAGCUGCACAGAUCAUCUUGUGUGGGCUAAGGGGAUCAGGGGGCUAAGUGCAAUGUGGUGCCUCUGCAUGAUCUACAGGGGGCAGGGACAGACCAUGGCGGUUGUCUCAGGGGCCAGAGGGAGGCAUGGC